AUUUUAAUAUCUUCAUUAAAAUUUAUCUUAAUUCAACAUCGAGGUCGCAAUCUUUUUUAUCAAUAUGAACUCUUUAAAAAUAUUACGCUGUUAUCCCUAAGGUAAUUUAAUUUAUAUUCAUUAAUAAUGGAUAAAAAACUCAUAAAUAAUUGUUAAUAAAUUUGAAAAUUUUAUUAAAUUUUCAUAUAACCCCAACAAAAUAAUAUAUUAAUAAUAAUAAAAUUUAUUAAAAAUUUAAUAUUAAUUAAUUAUUAAAUUCUAUAGGGUCUUCUCGUCUUUUAAUUAUAUGUAAAAAUUUUUAUUCACAAUAAAAUUCAAAUAUUUAAAUUGAGACAGAUUUUAUUUCAUUAAUUCUUUCAUUCCAGACUUAAAUAAUAAGACAAAUGAUUAUGCUACCUUUGUACAGUCAAUAUACUGCAGCUAUUUAAAAUUUUUUCAUUGAGCAGAACUGAUUUUAAAUUAUAAUUCAAAAAACCAUGUUUUUGAUAAAC
RNAcentral lists this ribosomal RNA (491 nucleotides) under Plutarchia sp. DH-2003a. RNAcentral's name for it is "partial 16S ribosomal RNA". The record is from RNAcentral. Lineage: Eukaryota; Metazoa; Arthropoda; Insecta; Hymenoptera; Eurytomidae.